This 458-nucleotide ribosomal RNA is filed under the name uncultured bacterium. RNAcentral's name for it is "partial 16S ribosomal RNA". It matches the Rfam family "Bacterial small subunit ribosomal RNA", at positions 338 to 795 of the family's 1533-position model. The record is from RNAcentral.
CCUACGGGUGGCAGCAGUGGGGAAUAUUGCACAAUGGGGGAAACCCUGAUGCAGCGACGCCGCGUGAGUGAAGAAGUAUUUCGGUAUGUAAAGCUCUAUCAGCAGGGAAGAAAUAGCGACCUUUGGGUCGCCAGACGGUAACUGAUUAAGAAACCCCGGCUAACUACGUGCCAGCAGCCGCGGUAAUACGUAGGGGGCAAGCGUUAUCCGGAUUUAAUGGGUGUAAAGGGAGCGUAGACGGCAGCGCAAGGCUGAAGUGAAAUGCCGGGGCUUAAACCCGGAACUGCUUUGGAAACUGUGCAGCUAGAGUGCAGGAGAGGUAAGUGGAAUUCCUAGUGUAGCGGUGAAAGGCGUAGAUAUUAGGAGGAAACCCAGUGGCGAAGGCGGCUUACUGGACUGUAACUGACGUUGAGGCUCGAAAGCGUGGGGAGCAAACAGGAUUAGAUACCCUUGUAGUC